Felis catus (domestic cat) is the source of this 423-nucleotide long non-coding RNA. RefSeq lists it as uncharacterized. The transcript has 2 exons. The record is from RefSeq and is a predicted model, not a curated record. Lineage: Eukaryota; Metazoa; Chordata; Mammalia; Carnivora; Felidae.
CAAGGCCGCCAUGUUCCCAUGACUUCACAGAGGGCUGUAACUUCCAUCUUGCUAGCAGACCCUGUCCCGGGGUAGCUUUGGUAAGACCAGCUGCUGUGUUGUGAGCUACUCCACGGAGAGACCACGUGACAAGAAACCGGGGGUUGGCACUGGACAGCUGCGGCCAGGAAACUGAAGCCCUCAGUCCAACAACCUUGCAAGGAAUGAAAUCUGGCCAACUGCUACAGGAGUUUGAAAGUGGAUCCUUCCCCAGUCGAGCUUCAGAGACCCCAGUCUCAGAUAUUUACCGAAACGUUCACGGAGUACCCACUGUACCCCAGGCACCGUCUUAAAUGCUGGAAAUACAAACGUAGACAAGAUGCACUUGCUUCCUGUGUAGGGCGGCCUCGGGGAGUUUCAAAAUAAAAAAAAAAAAAACAAUAA